This 454-nucleotide ribosomal RNA is filed under the name uncultured bacterium. Its description in RNAcentral is "bacterial SSU rRNA". It matches the Rfam family "Bacterial small subunit ribosomal RNA", at positions 340 to 786 of the family's 1533-position model. The record is from RNAcentral.
UACGGAAGGCAGCAGUGGGGAAUAUUGCACAAUGGGCGCAAGCCUGAUGCAGCCAUGCCGCGUGUAUGAAGAAGGCCUUCGGGUUGUAAAGUACUUUCAGUCGUGAGGAAGGUGUUAAGGUUAAUAACCUUAGCAAUUGACGUUAGCGACAGAAGAAGCACCGGCUAACUCCGUGCCAGCAGCCGCGGUAAUACGGAGGGUGCGAGCGUUAAUCGGAAUUACUGGGCGUAAAGGGCACGCAGGCGGUUAAUUAAGUUGGAUGUGAAAUCCCCGGGCUUAACCUGGGAAUGGCAUUCAAGACUGGUUAGCUAGAGUCUUGUAGAGGGGGUAGAAUUCCAUGUGUAGCGGUGAAAUGCGUAGAGAUGUGGAGGAAUCCGGUGGCGAAGGCGGCCCCUGGACAAAGGCUGACGCUCAUGUGCGAAAGCGUGGGGAGCAAACGAGGGAUUUAGAUACC